UGGAUGAGCCGCGGCCUAUCAGCUUGUUGGUGGGGUAACGGCCUACCAAGGCGAUUACGGGUAGCCGGCCUGAGAGGGCGACCGGCCACACUGGGACUGAGACACGGCCCAGACUCCUGCGGGAGGCAGCAGUGGGGAAUAUUGCGCAAUGGGCGAAAGCCUGACGCAGCGACGCCGCGUGGGGGAUGACGGCCUUCGGGUUGUAAACCUCUUUUACCACUAACGCAGGCUCGGGGUUCUCUCCGGGUUGACGGUAGGUGGGGAAUAAGGACCGGCUAACUACGUGCCAGCAGCGCGG
RNAcentral lists this ribosomal RNA (298 nucleotides) under uncultured bacterium. RNAcentral describes it as "partial 16S ribosomal RNA". It matches the Rfam family "Bacterial small subunit ribosomal RNA", at positions 222 to 520 of the family's 1533-position model. The record is from RNAcentral.